GGUGGCUCAGUGGUAGAGCAUUUGCCUUGCAUGCAUGAGUCACUGGGUUCGAUUCCUCAGCACCA
This 65-nucleotide transfer RNA is filed under the name Dipodomys ordii (Ord's kangaroo rat). It matches the Rfam family "tRNA". Rfam says of the family: Transfer RNA (tRNA) molecules are approximately 80 nucleotides in length. Lineage: Eukaryota; Metazoa; Chordata; Mammalia; Rodentia; Heteromyidae. The record is from Rfam by way of RNAcentral.